RNAcentral lists this ribosomal RNA (399 nucleotides) under uncultured bacterium. Its description in RNAcentral is "bacterial SSU rRNA". It matches the Rfam family "Bacterial small subunit ribosomal RNA", at positions 244 to 635 of the family's 1533-position model. The record is from RNAcentral.
GGUAGUUGGUGGGGUAAAGGCUCACCAAGCCGACGAUCUGUAGCUGGUCUGAGAGGACGACCAGCCACACUGGGACUGAGACACGGCCCAGACUCCUACGGGAGGCAGCAGUGGGGAAUUUUGGACAAUGGGCGCAAGCCUGAUCCAGCCAUGCCGCGUGAGUGAAGAAGGCCUUCGGGUUGUAAAGCUCUUUCGGCCGGGACGAAAUGGCGCGGGGUAAUAUCCCGCGUCGAUGACGGUACCGGAAGAAGAAGGACCGGCUAACUACGUGCCAGCAGCCGCGGUAAUACGUAGGGUCCAAGCGUUAAUCGGAAUUACUGGGCGUAAAGCGUGCGUAGGCGGUCUCGCAAGUCCGAUGUGAAAUCCCCGGGCUUAACCUGGGAACUGCGUUUGAAACAC